GAACUCUUAGGGAUAGAUGUUAAACCAUUCACUUUCAGUUAUGAAGAGCUAAAGACGGCUACAGACGACUUCAAUUCUGUUAAUAGGUUGGGAGCAGGAGGAUUUGGACCUGUCUACAAGGUAAGCCAUUACCUUAACCUAAUUCAUAUGGCUGAAUAAUUAGCGCUGCCAUAGCUUUUAACUAGUUUGCUACAAAGAUAGAAAUGUUUUCUUCUCUAUUUUUCUCCAUCGAAAUACUCAAUGAUGCAUAUUUACUUUUUUCUUGUGUACAUUAUAUGUGCAAGAGGAAACACCUGAUGAUGGAAGAGUUGUUGCUGCAAAGCAACCGUCUGUGACAUCCCACCAAGGAAAAAACCAGUUUGUGACUGAAAAUUGCAACAAUGUCUUCUGUGUAACACCAAAACUUGGUGAAGUUGCCUUGAAGGAAACAAUCGGCUGCUUGUGAACAGGAAAUAACAGCUUGGGUCUCAAUUGGUCAACGCAUUAUGACAUUUGCUUGGGGAUAGCAAGAAUUCUAGCUUAUCUUCAUGAGGAAUCCCGGCUUAGGAUAGUACAUAGAGACAUAAAGGCCAGUAACAUUCUGCUUGACUCUAAUCUCAACCUCAAAAUAUCAGAUUUUGGUUUGUCCAGGCUUUAUGAUGAUAAAAAAAACCCACAUAAGCACCCGUGUUGUUGGGGCAAUGUAAGAUUUUCAAUGCUUAAUCUGUCAUGUUCAACUUCCUCUUCUUUGUCUCUUUUAUUAUUGUUACUGAUGUAGUGGGUACGGUGCACCGGAGUAUGCCAUGCGUGGGUACCUUACAAAGAAAACCGAUAUAUUUACUUUUGGAGUUGUGUCUCUAGGGAUCGUUAGUGGUAGGCCAAAUUCUGAUUCAAGCUUAGAAGAAGGAAAGAUAUAUCUUCUUGAAUGGGCUUGGAACCUAUAUGAAGAAAACCAAGAAGAUGAAUUGGCGAAUUCAGCAUUAUCCACAUUCAACAAAGAAGGAAGUAAAACGAGUCAUAGGAGUAGCUCCUUGGUGCACUCAAAUAUCACCAUCCUUAAGGCCAUCAAUGUCCAGAGUGAUGGCAAUCAUUUCAGGUAAUGCAGAAGUGAGCACAGAAAUUACGAGACCCGGAUACUUGACUGACAGGAAGUUCGAAGAUGUGAGCAGGCAAACGAGUGACGGUGCAACCAAAGGAACUAACACUAGCUACCAUAACUCAUCUGCAAGCACAAGCAUGGUUGGAGAUGCAGAGCAAUCACAUGUCUAUGGAAGUG
This is a long non-coding RNA of Ziziphus jujuba (common jujube), 1255 nucleotides long. RefSeq lists it as uncharacterized. Lineage: Eukaryota; Viridiplantae; Streptophyta; Magnoliopsida; Rosales; Rhamnaceae. The record is from RefSeq and is a predicted model, not a curated record. The transcript has 3 exons.